CAGUAGCCACGGUAAUACGGAGGGUGCAAGCGUUAAUCGGAAUUACUGGGCGUAAAGCGUGCGUAGGCGGUUCGUUAAGUCUGUUGUGAAAGCCCCGGGCUCAACCUGGGAAUGGCAAUGGAUACUGGCGAGCUAGAGUGUGUCAGAGGAUGGUGGAAUUCCCGGUGUAGCGGUGAAAUGCGUAGAUAUCGGGAAGAACACCGGUGGCGAAGGCGGCGACCUGGUCUUUUACUGACGCUGAGGCGCGAAAGCGUGGGGAGCAAACAGGAUUAGAUACCCCUGUAGUCCCUGUCUCUUAUAC
This 301-nucleotide ribosomal RNA is filed under the name uncultured bacterium. RNAcentral describes it as "partial 16S ribosomal RNA". It matches the Rfam family "Bacterial small subunit ribosomal RNA", at positions 509 to 807 of the family's 1533-position model. The record is from RNAcentral.